Long non-coding RNA from Sinocyclocheilus grahami, 487 nucleotides. RefSeq lists it as uncharacterized. The transcript has 3 exons. The record is from RefSeq and is a predicted model, not a curated record. Lineage: Eukaryota; Metazoa; Chordata; Actinopteri; Cypriniformes; Cyprinidae.
CAAAUAACUGUGUUUACGAGGAUACUCGCAAAGACGGGCAUUUUGACACAUAACUAUGUGUAUUUGAGCGUUUAAGCACAAGGAGCGAAAGUUUAGUCAGUAAUACGAGCAGGUGUAUCAGGUAGAAACCGUUUUAACGCACGCAUUUACCAGAAUGAAUUCUGCCCCGCAGCGUAAUGUCCGUGAACAGUAUAAACCAUUUGUUUUAAAACACCUUGAAAUGAUAAGCUUAGACUACAUCAUGACGCUCUUCAAUCAACGAUUGAUAUAUUUCUACCGGAUUAUCUCCCAACCCUUAAAUGAAUAUAGUUUGUUCAAACACAAAAACAAUAUAAAUCCAGUUAAUAAUCAAACUAACCUAAAAUCUGUGUGGACGAUGACACUGUUUUUGUCUGCUCCGUGUGCCCGGUUCACUUGCUUUUCCGGCAACUUCCACUCCAUCAUCAGCUUUAGUAAAAUAACCUGAUAGCUGAUUUUGGAUCCUGUG